UCCGGUUUGUCACCGGCAGUCUCCCUAGAGUCCCCGGCUUUACCCGCUGGCAACUAAGGGCAGGGGUUGCGCUCGUUGCGGCACUUAAGCCAACACCUCACGGCACGAGCUGACGACAGCCAUGCAGCACCUGUGCUAGCCCCUUGCGUACACGGGCUUUCACCCGCUUUAACUAGCAUGUCAAGCCUAGGUAAGGUUCUUCGCGUUGCAUCGAAUUAAGCCACAUGCUCCGCCGCUUGUGCGGGUCCCCGUCAAUUCCUUUGAGUUUUAGCCUUGCGGCCGUACUCCCCAGGCGGGGCACUUAAUGCGUUAGCUGCGGCACCCAGGGGGUCAAUACCCCGGACACCUAGUGCCCAUCGUUUACAGCGUGGACUAC
RNAcentral lists this unclassified non-coding RNA (376 nucleotides) under uncultured bacterium. Its description in RNAcentral is "contains 16S-23S intergenic spacer region". The record is from RNAcentral.